Molecule: ribosomal RNA, 253 nt
Filed under: uncultured bacterium
Lineage: Bacteria
Description: partial 16S ribosomal RNA
Rfam family: Bacterial small subunit ribosomal RNA
Source: RNAcentral
UACGUAGGGGGCAAGCGUUGUCCGGAUUUAUUGGGCGUAAAGAGCGUGUAGGCGGCUAGGUAGGUCCGUUGUGAAAACUCGAGGCUCAACCUCGAGACGCCGAUGGAAACCAUGUGGCUAGAGUCCGGAAGAGGAGAGUGGAAUUCCUGGUGUAGCGGUGAAAUGCGCAGAUAUCAGGAAGAACACCCGUGGCUAAGGCGGCUCUCUAGUACGGUACUGACGCUGAGACGCGAAAGCGUGGGGAGCGAACAGG